This 539-nucleotide ribosomal RNA is filed under the name uncultured Gammaproteobacteria bacterium. RNAcentral describes it as "bacterial SSU rRNA". It matches the Rfam family "Bacterial small subunit ribosomal RNA", at positions 1 to 533 of the family's 1533-position model. The record is from RNAcentral. Lineage: Bacteria; Pseudomonadati; Pseudomonadota; Gammaproteobacteria.
GCCCUUGAGUUUGAUCCUGGCUCAGAUUGAACGCUGGCGGCAUGCCUAACACAUGCAAGUCGAACGGUAACGCGGAGAGCUUGCUCUCUGGCGACGAGUGGCGGACGGGUGAGUAACAUAUAGGAAUCUGCCCUGAAGUGGGGAACAACCCUGGGAAACCAGGGCUAAUACCGCAUACCCUCUACGGAGGAAAGCCGGGGACCUUCGGGCCUGGCGCUUCGGGAUGAGCCUAUAUCCGAUUAGCUAGUUGGUAGAGUAACGGCCUACCAAGGCGACGAUCGGUAGCUGGUCUGAGAGGAUGAUCAGCCACACUGGGACUGAGACACGGCCCAGACUCCUACGGGAGGCAGCAGUGGGGAAUAUUGGACAAUGGGCGCAAGCCUGAUCCAGCAAUGCCGCGUGUGUGAAGAAGGCCUGCGGGUUGUAAAGCACUUUCAGUCGGGAGGAAAAGCCCUUGAUUAAGAGUUGAGGGUCUUGACGUUACCGACAGAAGAAGCACCGGCUAACUCCGUGCCAGCAGCCGCGGUAAUACGAAGGGC